This 1254-nucleotide long non-coding RNA is filed under the name Monodelphis domestica (gray short-tailed opossum). Its description in RNAcentral is "lncRNA (ENSMODG00000048019.1)". The record is from RNAcentral. Lineage: Eukaryota; Metazoa; Chordata; Mammalia; Didelphimorphia; Didelphidae.
GGGAGUACACGACAUCCCUGAAGGUGGACUAUUGGUCUCAUGACAAUACAGACAAUCAUAUCGGAAAUAAAAACUCAGAAUAAUAUCAGAUUAUAAUCCCAUGAGAUUUACGGCCACGUUAUUAUUUCUCUCCUGGAUGUUACAACAGUUAAGUUUCCCAAACCUUUACAUUUUCACUCAACAUCUUUUUCUUCUUCUGCUAGAGCAGGGCAAACCUUUUCUGAGUACCCAGAGGACAAAUUGAAGCUGUCUGGGAGCCCCAGAGAGCAGAGGUGCUUGCUUUGAGCAGCUGGUCAAAGGGACAGAGCAGGCAAAAAAUGUCCUUGGGGGGUGGGAAGAGGGGGAACGUUUAGAGCAUCUCACCUGUACGCUCUUUACAUAAAUUGCUUGUCUUGUGGACAGAAGUAAAUAAUCAAUUUCUGGAGAUCUUGGUCAAAAAAGUUUUUGUUUUUUCCUUCCUGGUAUUAGGAUUAAUUAGCCACUAAGGACAGGUAGAGAAGAGUGGGUAAAAUUUCUUUAAGACCAGGCAGAAUCUUGGGAAGAGGGCCUGUUAGGAUUCUGGGUAGCCGGGGUCAGUUGGGUUUUCCAACUGUCAAUGGACUCCUGGUGUUUCUGUGCCCUGGAACACUGAAGAACCCAGUGGCUGGUGAAGGAGGAUAACAGGUUAGCGUUUCUGGAAUACGUUUGUGGGGGGAUGACAGAAAAGAGACUCUUUUCUCUGUGUGGCUGCUGAGAGGCCCAAGCCAGUUUGAGGCCUGGGUAGGCCUAAAAAGCCUAAAAAGUGGGCAGUGAGUGAAUAACGGAACUGGUUCAAAGCCACCCAGCUCAGGGUCUCAACAUGUCGAUAAGCUCUGAUAUUGAACCCCUGCUUGUUAUCAGGAGGUUGAGGAGGUGGAAUUUGGAGGUGGGGUGAUGUAAUGGACCGAAUACUGAGGGACAGAGGCCAUUUUUGAAGCCACUAAUUCUCAAAAAUGAGGAUGUGGAAUGAUCCUGAGGACCAUGGGAGGUCAUGUGAGGCGAGGGAUGCACAGCUGAAAGUGUCAGAGGGGUUCAGCAGUCAGAAGGUUGGGUGUCACCUGCCAUCCGUCAGAGCUGCUCAUCUGCCUGUUAGCCAGCACAUUCCUGACAGUUGAGAAGGAAGAGAGAUGCAGGAGCCCAUCGCCUGCCCUUUACUGAUGUGAAUCCAUGCGAAUUACCUUAUUGCCUGGAUGUGUUUUUUAAUAAACUCUCUUUUCCGUAAUGAGUUUUGCCUCA